GUUAUCCUACGGGGGGCAGCAGUGGGGAAUAUUGGGCAAUGGGCGCAAGCCUGACCCAGCAACGCCGCGUGAAGGAAGAAGGCUUUCGGGUUGUAAACCUCUUUAGGCGGGGAGCAAUGCCGGGCACGCGUGUCCGGAGGGAGAGUACCCGCAGAAUAAGCAUCGGCUAACUCCGUGCCAGCAGCCGCGGUAAUACGGAGGAUGCGAGCGUUAUCCGGAUUUAUUGGGUUUAAAGGGUGCGUAGGCGGAUUUUUAAGUCAGCGGUAAAAUGUCCGGGCUCAACCCGGGCCGGCCGUUGAAACUGG
This 305-nucleotide ribosomal RNA is filed under the name uncultured bacterium. RNAcentral's name for it is "bacterial SSU rRNA". It matches the Rfam family "Bacterial small subunit ribosomal RNA", at positions 333 to 636 of the family's 1533-position model. The record is from RNAcentral.